UUGACCUCGGAUCAGGUAGGGAUACCCGCUGAACUUAAGCAUAUCAAUAAGCGGAGGAAAAGAAACCAACAGGGAUUGCCCCAGUAACGGCGAGUGAAGCGGCAAGAGCUCAAAUUUGAAAGCUGGCUCCUUCGGGGUCCGCAUUGUAAUUUGCAGAGGAUGCUUCGGGAGCGGUCCCCAUCUAAGUGCCCUGGAACGGGACGUCAUAGAGGGUGAGAAUCCCGUAUGGGAUGGGGUGUCCGCGCCCGUGUGAAGCUCCUUCGACGAGUCGAGUUGUUUGGGAAUGCAGCUCUAAAUGGGUGGUAAAUUUCAUCUAAAGCUAAAUAUUGGCCGGAGACCGAUAGCGCACAAGUAGAGUGAUCGAAAGAUGAAAAGCACUUUGAAAAGAGAGUUAAAAAGCACGUGAAAUUGUUGAAAGGGAAGCGCUUGCGACCAGACUCGCUCGCGGGGUUCAGCCGGCAUUCGUGCCGGUGUAUUUCCCCGCGGGCGGGCCAGCGUCGGUUUGGGCGGUCGGUCAAAGGCCCUCGGAAGGUAACGCCCCUAGGGGCGUCUUAUAGCCGAGGGUGCAAUGCGACCUGCCUAGACCGAGGAACGCGCUUCGGCUCGGACGCUGGCAUAA
This 619-nucleotide ribosomal RNA is filed under the name Penicillium glandicola. RNAcentral describes it as "eukaryotic LSU rRNA". It matches the Rfam family "Eukaryotic large subunit ribosomal RNA", at positions 1 to 634 of the family's 3401-position model. Lineage: Eukaryota; Fungi; Ascomycota; Eurotiomycetes; Eurotiales; Aspergillaceae. The record is from RNAcentral.